AGAGUUUGAUCCUGGCUCAGGAUGAACGCUAGCUACAGGCUUAACACAUGCAAGUCGAGGGGAAACGACAUCGAAAGCUUGCUUUUGAUGGGCGUCGACCGGCGCACGGGUGAGUAACGCGUAUCCAACCUGCCCAUCACUUGGGAAUAACCUUGCGAAAGUAAGACUAAUACCCAAUGACAUCCCACGAAGGCAUCCGAAUGGGAUUAAAGAUUUAUCGGUGAUGGAUGGGGAUGCGUCUGAUUAGCUUGUUGGCGGGGUAACGGCCCACCAAGGCAACGAUCAGUAGGGGUUCUGAGAGGAAGGUCCCCCACAUUGGAACUGAGACACGGUCCAAACUCCUACGGGAGGCAGCAGUGAGGAAUAUUGGUCAAUGGGCGAGAGCCUGAACCAGCCAAGUAGCGUGCAGGAAGACGGCCCUAUGGGUUGUAAACUGCUUUUAUAAGGGAAUAAAGUGAGUCUCGUGAGACUUUUUGCAUGUACCUUAUGAAUAAGGACCGGCUAAUUCCGUGCCAGCAGCCGCGGUAAUACGGAAGGUCCGGGCGUUAUCCGGAUUUAUUGGGUUUAAAGGGAGCGUAGGCCGGAGAUUAAGCGUGUUGUGAAAUGUAGAGGCUCAACCUCUGCACUGCAGCGCGAACUGGUCUUCUUGAGUACGCACAACGUGGGCGGAAUUCGUGGUGUAGCGGUGAAAUGCUUAGAUAUCACGAAGAACUCCGAUUGCGAAGGCAGCUCACGGGAGCGCAACUGACGCUGAAGCUCGAAAGUGCGGGUAUCGAGCAGGAUUAGAUACCCUGGUAGUCCGCACGGUAAACGAUGGAUGCCCGCUGUUGGCCUGAAUAGGUCAGCGGCCAAGCGAAAGCAUUAAGCAUCCCACCUGGGGAGUACGCCGGCA
Molecule: ribosomal RNA, 892 nt
Filed under: uncultured bacterium
Lineage: Bacteria
Description: bacterial SSU rRNA
Rfam family: Bacterial small subunit ribosomal RNA
Source: RNAcentral